Molecule: ribosomal RNA, 169 nt
Filed under: uncultured bacterium
Lineage: Bacteria
Description: partial 16S ribosomal RNA
Rfam family: Bacterial small subunit ribosomal RNA
Source: RNAcentral
UCCGUAGGUGGUUUGUCAAGUCUGUCGUCAAAGAAUGGAGCUUAACUCCAUAAAGGCGGUGGAAACUGAGAGACUAGAGUUCGGUAGGGGUAGCGGGAAUUCCCAGUGUAGCGGUGAAAUGCGUAGAUAUUGGGAAGAACAUCGGUGACGAAAGCUAGGGUAGCGAAAG